Molecule: ribosomal RNA, 254 nt
Filed under: uncultured bacterium
Lineage: Bacteria
Description: partial 16S ribosomal RNA
Rfam family: Bacterial small subunit ribosomal RNA
Source: RNAcentral
CACGUAGGGGGCAAGCGUUGUCCGGAAUCAUUGGGCGUAAAGAGCUCGUAGGCGGCUCAGUAAGUCGGGUGUGAAACCCUCAGGCUCAACCUGGGGACGCCACCCGAUACUGCUGUGGCUAGAGUCCAGUAGGGGAGUGUGGAAUUCCCGGUGUAGCGGUGAAAUGCGCAGAUAUCGGGAGGAACACCAGCGGCGAAGGCGGCACUCUGGGCUGGUACUGACGCUGAGGCGCGAAAGCGUGGGGAGCGAACAGG